RNAcentral lists this ribosomal RNA (448 nucleotides) under uncultured Polaromonas sp. Its description in RNAcentral is "bacterial SSU rRNA". It matches the Rfam family "Bacterial small subunit ribosomal RNA", at positions 933 to 1382 of the family's 1533-position model. The record is from RNAcentral. Lineage: Bacteria; Pseudomonadati; Pseudomonadota; Betaproteobacteria; Burkholderiales; Comamonadaceae.
UGGAGUAUGUGGUUUAAUUCGAUGAUACGCGAAGAACCUUACCGGGGUUUGACAUGCAGGUGAUCGCCGUUGAAAGACGGUUUCCUCUUCGGAGGCACCUGCACAGGUGCUGCAUGGCUGUCGUCAGCUCGUGUCGUGAGAUGUUGGGUUAAGUCCCGCAACGAGCGCAACCCUUGUCAUUAGUUGCUACAUUUAGUUGGGCACUCUAAUGAGACUGCCGGUGACAAACCGGAGGAAGGUGGGGAUGACGUCAAGUCCUCAUGGCCCUUAUAGGUAGGGCUACACACGUCAUACAAUGGAUGGUACAAAGGGUCGCCAACCCGCGAGGGGGAGCCAAUCCCAUAAAACCAUUCGUAGUCCGGAUUGCAGUCUGCAACUCGACUGCGUGAAGUCGGAAUCGCUAGUAAUCGUGGAUCAGAAUGUCACGGUGAAUACGUUCCCGGGUCUU